CAAUAGCGUAUAUUAAAGUUGUUGCAGUUAAAAAGCUCGUAGUUGGAUCUCUGGUAGGGGCGACCGUGCCGAACUUGAUUGUUCGAGUAUUGUGUUGUCUUCAGCCAUCCUCGUGGAGAACUUUUCUAACAUUAACUUGUUGGGAUUGGGACCCGCGUCGUUUACUGUGAAAAAAUUAGAGUGUUUAAAGCAGGCAUUAGCUUGAAUACAUUAGCAUGGAAUAAUAAGAUAGGACUUUGGUACUAUUUUGUUGGUUUGCAUACCAAAUUAAUGAUCAACAGGAACAGUUUGAGGAUAUUCGUAUGAACAUGUCAGAGGUGAAAUUCUUGGAUUUUGAUCAGACGAACUACUGCGAAAGCAUUUAUCAAGGAUGUUUUCAUUAA
This 383-nucleotide ribosomal RNA is filed under the name uncultured eukaryote. RNAcentral's name for it is "partial 18S ribosomal RNA". It matches the Rfam family "Eukaryotic small subunit ribosomal RNA", at positions 592 to 976 of the family's 1831-position model. The record is from RNAcentral.